Molecule: ribosomal RNA, 1902 nt
Filed under: human gut metagenome
Description: bacterial LSU rRNA
Rfam family: Bacterial large subunit ribosomal RNA
Source: RNAcentral
UCAAGCUAAUAAGAGCGCAAGGGGAAUGCCUUGGCAUCAAGAGCCGAUGAAGGACGUGACAAGCUGCGAUAAGCUGCGGGGAGCUGCACAUAAGCAUUGAUCCGCAGAUUUCCGAAUGGGGAAACCCGUCAGAGCAAUACUCUGACAACGUGCAUUGAACAAAAUAGGUGUACGUGGGGAACCGCCUGAACUGAAACAUCUAAGUAGGGCGAGGAAGAGAAAUCAAAAGAGAUUCCGCUAGUAGUGGCGAGCGAACGCGGAAGAGGGCAAACCGGAGGAUUUAUUCUCCGGGGUUGAGGACCGACGCACGAUACAAUAGGUUAGCUGAACGGCAUGGGAAGGCCGACCAGAGCGGGUGAUAGUCCCGUAAGCGAAAACCGAUUUGUGUCAGUUGGGAUCCAGAGUACCGCAGGACACGUGAAACCCUGUGGGAAACUGGGGGGACCACCCUCCAACCCUAAAUACUACUUGAUGACCGAUAGAGGAGCAGUACCGUGAGGGAAAGGUGAAAAGGACCCCGGGAGGGGAGUGAAAGAGAACCUGAAACCUUGUGCUUACAAGCACUCAAAGCCCGUUAAAGGGUGAUGAGGUACUUUUUGUAGAACGGUCCGGCGAGUUAUUGUAUGUAGCAAGCUUAAGGUAUUCAGUACCGGAGGCGAAGCGAGAGCGAGUCUGAACAGGGCGAAAUGAAGUUGCAUGCAAUAGACCCGAAACCAGGUGACCUAUCCAUGAGCAGGUUGAAGUGGAGGUAAAACUCCAUGGAGGACCGAACCGACCCCCGUUGCAAUGGUGGCGGAUGACUUGUGGAUAGCGGAGAAAUUCCAAUCGAACUUGGAGAUAGCUGGUUCUCCCCGAAAUAGCUUUAGGGCUAGCGUUGAUUUAGAUUACCGGAGGUAAAGCACUGAAUGGGCUAGGGGCUGAUAAAGUUACUGAACCCUAUCAAACUCAGAAUGCCGGAUAAUUGAUGAUCAGCAGUCAGACUACGUGAGAUAAGUCUCGUGGUCAAAAGGGAAACAGCCCAGACCUACAGCUAAGGUCCCAAAUAUACGCUAAGUGGAAAACGAUGUGGAAUUGCGAAAACAACCAGGAUGUUGGCUUAGAAGCAGCCACACAUUAAAAGAGUGCGUAAUAGCUCACUGGUCGAGUGACUCUGCGCGGAAAAUGUAACGGGGCUAAGCGUAUAACCGAAGCUUAGGAUGCAGCAAUGCGUGGUAGGGGAGCGUCGAAUACGGGGUGAAGUCGCAGCGGAAGCAGCGGUGGACUGUAUUCGAGUGAGAAUGCCGGAAUGAGUAGCGAGAAUUAUGUGGGAAUCAUAAUGGCCGAAAAUCUAAGGUUUCUUGGGGAAGGUUCGUCCGCCCAAGGUAAGCCGGGAGCUAAGGCGAGGCCGAGAGGCGUAGUCGAUGCACAUACGGUUGAAAUUCCGUAGCCACCGAAAUUUAAACUAGAGGGACACUUGAAACUAUCUGGACCCGGGCGUUGGUUGACCCGGGCGAAAGGGACCGAAAUCAAGUAGGGAAGCCAGAGAACGUCGAGGCGAGAAAAGUUCUAGUGAAUGCUAAGGUGCCCGUACCGCAAACCGACACAGGUAGAUGAGGAGAGGAUCCUAAGGCCAACGGGAGAAGGGUUGUUAAGGAACUCGGCAAAAUUACCCCGUAACUUCGGGAUAAGGGGAGCUCCCUAAGGGGAGCCGCAGAGAAUAGGCCCAAGCGACUGUUUACCAAAAACACAGGUCUAUGCUAAAUCGAAAGAUGACGUAUAUGGGCUGACGCCUGCCCGGUGCUGGAAGGUUAAGAGGAGAGCUUAGCGCAAGCGAAGGUUUGAAUUGAAGCCCCAGUAAACGGCGGCCGUAACUAUAACGGUCCUAAGGUAGCGAAAUUCCUUGUCAGGUAAGUUCUGACCCGC